GGAAUAUAAGAAUUUGACUCUUAACUUUUAACUAAAAAAACUAAGAACCGACUCUUAAAUAAAAGAGACAUGUUCUUAUAUUCCGCUAAGAACUUCAUCCUAAUAAAUGAUUCUUAGCUUUUUUAGUUAAAAAUUAAAAGACAGAUUCUUAUAUUCC
Brassica oleracea var. oleracea is the source of this 157-nucleotide microRNA precursor. It matches the Rfam family "MIR9563 microRNA precursor family". The record is from Rfam. NCBI's taxonomy places the organism in Eukaryota, Viridiplantae, Streptophyta, Magnoliopsida, Brassicales, Brassicaceae.